This 558-nucleotide ribosomal RNA is filed under the name uncultured bacterium. Its description in RNAcentral is "bacterial SSU rRNA". It matches the Rfam family "Bacterial small subunit ribosomal RNA", at positions 338 to 916 of the family's 1533-position model. The record is from RNAcentral.
CCUACGGGAGGCAGCAGUGGGGAAUAUUGGACAAUGGGCGAAAGCCUGAUCCAGCAAUGCCGCGUGAGUGAAGAAGGCCUUCGGGUUGUAAAGCUCUUUUACCCGGGAAGAUAAUGACUGUACCGGGAGAAUAAGCCCCGGCUAACUCCGUGCCAGCAGCCGCGGUAAUACGGAGGGGGCUAGCGUUGUUCGGAAUUACUGGGCGUAAAGCGUACGUAGGCGGCUUUGUAAGUCAGAGGUGAAAGCCCACGACUCAAUCGUGGAACUGCCUUUGAGACUGCUUCGCUUGAAGAUGGGAGAGGUUAGUGGAAUUCCGAGUGUAGAGGUGAAAUUCGUAGAUAUUCGGAAGAACACCAGUGGCGAAGGCGGCUAACUGGACCAUUCUUGACGCUGAGGUACGAAAGCGUGGGAGCAAACAGGAUUAGAUACCCUGGUAGUCCACGCCGUAAACGAUGAUAACUAGCUGUCGGGGCUCUUGGAGCUUCGGUGGCGCAGCUAACGCAUUAAGUUAUCCGCCUGGGGAGUACGGCCGCAGGUUAAACUCAAAUGAAUUGACGG